Molecule: ribosomal RNA, 119 nt
Filed under: Pteropus alecto (black flying fox)
Lineage: Eukaryota; Metazoa; Chordata; Mammalia; Chiroptera; Pteropodidae
Source: RNAcentral
GACUACGGCCAUGCCACUUUGGACAAGCCCAAUCCUGUCUGAUCUUGGAAGCUAAGCAGAGUUGGGCUUGGUUAGUACUUGAAUGGGAGACCACCUAGGAAGACCAGGUGCUGUAGGCU